GAGUAAAGAUUUCGGUCGCUUUGGGAGGAGCUCGCUUACUAUCAGCUUGUUGGUAGGGUAAUGGCCUACCAAGGCUAUGACGGUUAGGGGGUGUGAGAGCAUGACCCCCAGCAUUGGCACUGAAACACUGGCCAAACACCUACGGGUGGCUGCAGUCGAGAAUCUUCCACAAUGGGGGAAACCCUGAUGGAGCGAUGCUGCGUGCGGGAUGAAGGCCUUCGGGUUGUAAACCGCUUUUGUAGGGGACGAAAUUUUUGACGGUACCCUUUCGAAUAAGAGGUUGCUAACUCUGUGCCAGCAGCAGCGGUAAUACAGAGACCUCAAGCGUUAUCCGGAUUUACUGGGCGUAAAGCGUCUGUAGGGGGUUUAUUAAGUUCCAAGUAAAAUUUCAAGGCUCAACUUUGAAUUCGCUUGGAAAACUAAUAAACUGGAGUCUAGCAGAGGUGCAUGGAACUUGUGGUGUAGGAGUGAAAUCCGUUGAUAUCACAAGGAACACCAAAGGCGAAGGCAUUGCACUGGGCUAGCACUGACCCUGAGAGACGAAAGCGUGGGGAGCAAAACGGAUUAGAUACCCGUGUAGUCCACGCCCUAAACGAUGAAUGCUAAAUGUUCGGGGAUUCGACCCCCUGGGU
Molecule: ribosomal RNA, 632 nt
Filed under: uncultured organism
Description: bacterial SSU rRNA
Rfam family: Bacterial small subunit ribosomal RNA
Source: RNAcentral